GAUGAACGCUGGCGGCGUGCCUAAUACAUGCAAGUCGAGCGAACAGACGCGGAGCUUGCUCCUCUGACGUUAGCGGCGGACGGGUGAGUAACACGUGGAUCACCUCCCUAUAAGACUGGGAUAACUUCGGGAAUCCGGAGCUAAUACCGGAUAAUAUGUUGAAUCGCAUGGUUCAACAGUGAAAGACGGUCUUGCUGUAUCGUCUCGAUGGUUAUGCGCCGCAUUGGCUGGUUGGGAAGGUAACGGGUUUUUACGGGAACGAGGCGUAGGCGACGGGAGGGAGUGAUCGGCCACACGGGAGCGGAGACGCCGACCAUAGGCCUACGGGAGGGAGCAGUAGGGAACGGGACGCAAUGGGCGAAAGUCUGACGGAGCAACGCCGAGUGAGAGAAGAAGGUCUUCGGAUCGUAAAACCCGGUUAUGGGUGAAGAACAAAUGUGUAAGUAACUAUGCACUUAGUGACGGUACCUGAUAAGAAAGCCACGGCUAACUACGUG
RNAcentral lists this ribosomal RNA (497 nucleotides) under uncultured bacterium. RNAcentral's name for it is "partial 16S ribosomal RNA". It matches the Rfam family "Bacterial small subunit ribosomal RNA", at positions 28 to 507 of the family's 1533-position model. The record is from RNAcentral.